Anolis carolinensis (green anole) is the source of this 2356-nucleotide long non-coding RNA. NCBI's taxonomy places the organism in Eukaryota, Metazoa, Chordata, Lepidosauria, Squamata, Anolidae. The record is from Ensembl.
CCUCUGGGAAGAAGAGAGCAUGGCCAGCAUGGCCAGGACGGAGAAGGAAGAAACGGCAGCGCAGGCAGCAGCCACGGAAGGUUUUUCAAGCCUCGGCUGGGGGACAGAUUUAUCGCACAAGCAAGUACAGGCAGACCCCAUUUCUCUCCAUGGACUCUUCUGCUCUACCUCCCAAUGCCCCUACUCCCAAGGAGCCAGGAGACAUCAUUCUUCACACUUGUAAAACACUUUCCUAACAAAGCGUAAUGGAUGCAAGGGGGAUUAUGUGAUGGACUCCAUUGUACUUCGUUUCCAUAAUGUUUUUAAAGUGUUUAGAAAUUGGGGGGGGGUGCAGGGGGCUGUGUGGGAUAAUGUCCUCUGUCUGCAUUGAGAUCCCUCUCAACCAUUUUAAAUGACAACAGAAUUAAGAUCCAAGACAAAAUAUUGACCUGUGACUUCGGCACCUUCACUUUUCUUUUCUGUGGGUUUUAACAUCUUUGCCUGAUGAAGAACCGAGUGAAGCUUUGACAGCUUGCGUAAUAUAUUUUGUACAUUUUGGUUGCCCAUUAAAGGUACUGCUCUUUUGUUGAUUUUUGAUGUUAUGGUUUAAGAAUAUAGCUCAGAGACAUGUAUAGACUGAUCAAAUAGUCGUUAUGUGCUCUAAUUUUCUUAAUGUGAGUUGAGCAACAAAGCCAUUAUAGGACAUAUAGGAACAAGGAGAGCUUCUUUAAAGAAUGAAUGGUUGAUUUGUGGCAGGACUGAAUGCCCAAUCUGAAUCUCAAUCCAGUUCCCCAACAGGCCACAACCUUUCUCUGUGAUACAUUUAUUGGUGGUUGUUUCUCAGCUUUUGUACAGAUUCUUCCCCAUUCUACGAAAAGUUGAAAUGCCUCUGCUAGUUCUUGACAGGAUGUGGUUUAACCUAAAAUAUGCUGGCAUUUUUGUUCCUACCCCUCUGCCUUGGUCUACACCCACCACUGGAAUGCCAUACUCAGGAACGUCUCUGAACCCAAGUCUAGCCCUCCGGCUGAAAGAGGUCUGCCACCCUUGAUUAAGGGAAUGCAGGGCCAUAUAGUUUUUGGCAGAGCUUAACUGGCUGUAAAAACAGAUGGAGGAAAAAUAAUACAAGUAUGCCUGAGAGCCAGCGUGGCAUAAUGGUUUGAGUGUUGGACUAUGACUCUGGAGACUAAGUUUCGAAUCACUAUUUGGCCAUGAAAAGUCUGAAGGUAACCUUGGGCAGAUCACGCACUCUCAGCCCCAAAGAAACCCUAUGAUUAGUUCAUUUUAGAGUCACCAUAAGUCAGAAAUGAAUCGAAGGCACACAACAACAACAACAACAACAACAACAACAACAACGAGAUCUUAGCCAUUCAGAUAUAAUAUCUUUUCACAUUACUUUCUCCUAAAAUCUGUUGUUAGAACCAGCAGUCAAAAAUCACGCACAUACGCUUUCAAUGUCUAGUAAAAUUUGAUGAACUUUAGUACAUUUCCCAUCGAACUGGAAAUGCCUUAGAGGGAAAAAGCAGCAGAACUCCGGAUGGGGUUUCUACUCCAAUAUCCUGAGGUGUCAAUGAAGUGGAUCAUUCUUAGCAGUGAGUACAUCAUUAUCCAAGUAAAAUACUAGAAAAAGGAAGUGAUUUAGUAAGUAUUUGGCACAAGAGGUCUGGGGAAAAAUAAGCUGAUAUCUUAACUUGGAAUGAUAUUUUCCACUGUGUUCUGUUGCGAGUCGGUCAGAAAAGUUGCAAUAUUGGACUUCAGAGUAUUACUUUCAAGGUCAAGAUCUGUGGUGAAUAAGACUAAAGGAAUACAACACUAACUAAAAAAGCAUAAGUAAUAAAGGUAUAAAUCAGGGGUCCCCAAACUAAGGCCCGGGGGCCGGAUACAGCCCUCCAAGGCCAUUUACCUGGCCCCCGCCCUCAGUUUUGGACUUAGUCUCACCCAAAGUCUGAAAUGACUUGAAGGCACAACAACAACAAUCCUACUUGAUUAUCUCAUUGGUCAGAAGCAGGCUCACACUUCCCACUGAAAUCCUGAUAAGUUUACAGUAUGUUGGUUAAAAUUAUUUUUAUUUUUAAAUAUUGUAUUGUUCUUUCAUUUACUAAUAUUGUAAAUGAAAUAUUGUAAAUGAAUGAUAUGGUAAUAAUAUAAUAUAUUGUGUAUACAUAUAAUAUUGAUAAUAAUAUUAUAAUGUAAUACAAUAUAAUAUUUAUUUAUUUAUUACAGUAUUUCUACCCCACCCUUCUCACCCAAUAGGGCACUCAGGGUGGCUAAUAAUAAUAAUACAAUAUAAUAAUAUUGUAUAAUAUAAUAUUAUAUUAUUUCCAUCCUCCAGGAAAUAAUGCCCGGCUGCUCACUGAGGGAAGGAUAUUAGAGGCAAAGC